GAUGAACGCUGGCGGCGUGCCUAAUACAUGCAAGUCGAGCGAACGGACGAGAAGCUUGCUUCUCUGACGUUAGCGGCGGACGGGUGAGUAACACGUGGAUAACCUACCUAUAAGACUGGGAUAACUUCGGGAAACCGGAGCUAAUACCGGAUGAUAUUUUGAACCGCAUGGUUCAAAAGUGAAAGACGGUCUUGCUGUCACUUAUAGAUAGAUCCGCGCUGCAUUAGCUAGUUGGUAAGGUAACGGCUUACCAAGGCAACGAUGCAUAGCCGACCUGAGAGGGUGAUCGGCCACACUGGAACUGAGACACGGUCCAGACUCCUACGGGAGGCAGCAGUAGGGAAUCUUCCGCAAUGGGCGAAAGCCUGACGGAGCAACGCCGCGUGAGUGAUGAAGGUCUUCGGAUCGUAAAACUCUGUUAUUAGGGAAGAACAUAUGUGUAAGUAACUGUGCACAUCUUGACGGUACCUAAUCAGAAAGCCACGGCUAACUACGUG
This 497-nucleotide ribosomal RNA is filed under the name uncultured bacterium. RNAcentral describes it as "partial 16S ribosomal RNA". It matches the Rfam family "Bacterial small subunit ribosomal RNA", at positions 28 to 507 of the family's 1533-position model. The record is from RNAcentral.